AUUGAACGCUGGCGGCAGGCCUAACACAUGCAAGUCGAACGAGUGGCGGACGGGUGAGUAAUGUAUGGGAAACUGCCCGAUGGAGGGGGAUAACUACUGGAAACGGUAGCUAAUACCGCAUACCAUCGGAAAUGCCCAGAUGGGAUUAGCUAGUAGGUGGGGUAACGGCUCACAUAGGAGACUAUCCCUAGCUGGUCUGAGAGGAUGACAAGCAACACGGGACCUGAGACACGGUCCAAACGCUUACGGGAGGCGGCAGGGGGGAAUAUUGCACAAUGGGCGAAAGCCUGAUGCAGCCAUGCCGCGUGGAUGAAGAAGGCUUUCGGUUUGUAAAGUAGUUUCAGCGAGGAGGCGUUACUCGCAGAAGAAGCACCGGCUAACUCCGUGCCAGCAGCCGCGGUAAUUC
Molecule: ribosomal RNA, 406 nt
Filed under: uncultured bacterium
Lineage: Bacteria
Description: partial 16S ribosomal RNA
Rfam family: Bacterial small subunit ribosomal RNA
Source: RNAcentral